GUUUAGUGAUGAGAUCCCAUGCGUGUCAUCUGAUGCUCAGGGUCUCUCUGCAUCGUGCCUGCCCAGUGUGUGCAGGUGGUUACAGAGGGCUCUGAGAAAUGAUUUCACCUCAGUCUGAGAAC
Small nucleolar RNA from Bombina bombina (fire-bellied toad), 122 nucleotides. RefSeq annotates it as small nucleolar RNA SNORD10. Lineage: Eukaryota; Metazoa; Chordata; Amphibia; Anura; Bombinatoridae. The transcript has a single exon. The record is from RefSeq and is a predicted model, not a curated record.